UUUUAUGGAGAGUUUGAUCCUGGCUCAGGAUGAACGCUGGCGGCGUGCCUAAUACAUGCAAGUCGAGCGAACGGACGAGAAGCUUGCUUCUCUGAUGUUAGCGGCGGACGGGUGAGUAACACGUGGAUAACCUACCUAUAAGACUGGGAUAACUUCGGGAAACCGGAGCUAAUACCGGAUGAUAUUUUGAACCGCAUGGUUCAAAAGUGAAAGACGGUCUUGCUGUCACUUAUAGAUGGAUCCGCGCUGCAUUAGCUAGUUGGUAAGGUAACGGCUUACCAAGGCAACGAUGCAUAGCCGACCUGAGAGGGUGAUCGGCCACACUGGAACUGAGACACGGUCCAGACUCCUACGGGAGGCAGCAGUAGGGAAUCUUCCGCAAUGGGCGAAAGCCUGACGGAGCAACGCCGCGUGAGUGAUGAAGGUCUUCGGAUCGUAAAACUCUGUUAUUAGGGAAGAACAUAUGUGUAAGUAACUGUGCACAUCUUGACGGUACCUAAUCAGAAAGCCACGGCUAACUACGUGCCAGCAGCCGCGGUAAUACGUAGGUGGCAAGCGUUAUCCGGAAUUAUUGGGCGUAAAGCGCGCGUAGGCGGUUUUUUAAGUCUGAUGUGAAAGCCCACGGCUCAACCGUGGAGGGUCAUUGGAAACUGGAAAACUUGAGUGCAGAAGAGGAAAGUGGAAUUCCAUGUGUAGCGGUGAAAUGCGCAGAGAUAUGGAGGAACACCAGUGGCGAAGGCGACUUUCUGGUCUGUAACUGACGCUGAUGUGCGAAAGCGUGGGGAUCAAACAGGAUUAGAUACCCUGGUAGUCCACGCCGUAAACGAUGAGUGCUAAGUGUUAGGGGGUUUCCGCCCCUUAGUGCUGCAGCUAACGCAUUAAGCACUCCGCCUGGGGAGUACGACCGCAAGGUUGAAACUCAAAGGAAUUGACGGGGACCCGCACAAGCGGUGGAGCAUGUGGUUUAAUUCGAAGCAACGCGAAGAACCUUACCAAAUCUUGACAUCCUUUGACAACUCUAGAGAUAGAGCCUUCCCCUUCGGGGGACAAAGUGACAGGUGGUGCAUGGUUGUCGUCAGCUCGUGUCGUGAGAUGUUGGGUUAAGUCCCGCAACGAGCGCAACCCUUAAGCUUAGUUGCCAUCAUUAAGUUGGGCACUCUAAGUUGACUGCCGGUGACAAACCGGAGGAAGGUGGGGAUGACGUCAAAUCAUCAUGCCCCUUAUGAUUUGGGCUACACACGUGCUACAAUGGACAAUACAAAGGGCAGCGAAACCGCGAGGUCAAGCAAAUCCCAUAAAGUUGUUCUCAGUUCGGAUUGUAGUCUGCAACUCGACUACAUGAAGCUGGAAUCGCUAGUAAUCGUAGAUCAGCAUGCUACGGUGAAUACGUUCCCGGGUCUUGUACACACCGCCCGUCACACCACGAGAGUUUGUAACACCCGAAGCCGGUGGAGUAACCUUUUAGGAGCUAGCCGUCGAAGGUGGGACAAAUGAUUGGGGUGAAGUCGUAACAAGGUAGCCGUAUCGGAAGGUGCGGCUGGAUCACCUCCUUUCU
This 1555-nucleotide ribosomal RNA is filed under the name Staphylococcus aureus subsp. aureus NCTC 8325. RNAcentral's name for it is "16S Ribosomal RNA". It matches the Rfam family "Bacterial small subunit ribosomal RNA". The record is from RNAcentral. Lineage: Bacteria; Bacillati; Bacillota; Bacilli; Caryophanales; Staphylococcaceae. RNAcentral also lists the same sequence under 3 other names.